ACGCUCGAUACCUACGGGAGGCAGCAGUGGGGAAUAUUGCACAAUGGAGGAAACUCUGAUGCAGCGAUGCCGCGUGAGGGAAGAAGGUUUUCGGAUUGUAAACCUCUGUCUUUGGGGACGAUAAUGACGGUACCCAAGGAGGAAGCUCCGGCUAACUACGUACCAGCAGCCGCGGUAAUCUGAGCGGGCUGGCAAGGC
Molecule: ribosomal RNA, 198 nt
Filed under: uncultured bacterium
Lineage: Bacteria
Description: partial 16S ribosomal RNA
Rfam family: Bacterial small subunit ribosomal RNA
Source: RNAcentral